Molecule: long non-coding RNA, 529 nt
Filed under: Bos taurus (domestic cattle)
Lineage: Eukaryota; Metazoa; Chordata; Mammalia; Artiodactyla; Bovidae
Description: long non-coding RNA NONBTAT014280
Source: RNAcentral
GGGCUUGCAGACUCAUCAAGAACUGGGAAUAGUUUGUAAUUCUCUACACCCAGCAAAGCACACAGUUUCUAUGAAUAAUGAAGAGUGAGGAAGAUGAGAAGAGGAAAGGAGAUAAGGAUGAAGGAUUUUGAUAGAAAAAGUGCAGAGAAGAAAGCCGAAAUGUCAAAAGUGAGUUGUGGUUAAGCAAUGCUACUACAUUUUGGGUUAAUGGGGUUAUUAGAUUCAUAAAUUUAAUCAUUUAAACCGUAUUCCCACAGAAAGAAGCCUUCUCUGCCUGCUAAGUAAAACUUGCCAAAAAGAUAGCCCUUGCUUAUUCUCGAAGUUCAUCCUUAGAUGUGUUGAAAAAUAUGUGUUGUAUCACCAGGCUUUGCUAGGGAUUAGGACAGCUCACUUCUAGAUUAAUUUACCUGAGCAGUGGUGACAUGAAAGGAUGAAUUCGAGCACAAGAAAUGUUGCUUUCCAUGAUUGGACAGCAAGACUGUAUAGCUCACUGUCAAUGUAAAAUAAAUCAGUCUCUCAGGAACCCUCC